This 497-nucleotide ribosomal RNA is filed under the name uncultured bacterium. RNAcentral's name for it is "partial 16S ribosomal RNA". It matches the Rfam family "Bacterial small subunit ribosomal RNA", at positions 28 to 507 of the family's 1533-position model. The record is from RNAcentral.
GAUGAACGCUGGCGGCGUGCCUAAUACAUGCAAGUCGAGCGGACGGACGAGGAGCUUGCUUCUCUGAUGUUAACGGAGGACGGGAGAGUAACACGUGGAUAACGUACCUGUAAGACGGGGAUCACUUCGGGAAACCGGCGCUAAUACCGUAUAAUAUUUUGAACCGCAUGGUUGAAAGGUAAAAGACGGUCUUGCUGGCACUUAUAGCUGGAUCCGCGCUGCAUUAGCUGGUUGGUACGGUAACGGCUUACCAAGGCUACGAUGCAUAGCCGACCUGAGAGGCUGGUCGCCCACCCUGGAGCGGAGACACGGUCCAGACUCCUACGGGAGGCAGCAGGAGGGAACCGUCCGCAAUGGUCGAAAGCCUGACGGAGCAACGCCGCGUGAGUGAUGAAGGUCUUCGGAUCGUAAAACUCUGUUAUGAGGGAUGAACAGAUGUGUAAGGAACCGUGCACAGCUUGACGGUACCGAAUCAGAAAGCCACGGCUAACUACGUG